GACGUAGGGCGCGAGCGUUGUCCGGAUUUAUUGGGCGUAAAGAGCUCGUAGGCGGUUUGUCGCGUCGGAUGUGAAAUUUUAAGGCUCAACCCUGACAUUGCAUCCGAUACGGGCAGGCUAGAGUUCGGUAGGGGAGACUGGAAUUCCUGGUGUAGCGGUGAAAUGCGCAGAUAUCAGGAGGAACACCGGUGGCGAAGGCGGGUCUCUGGGCCGAUACUGACGCUGAGGAGCGAAAGCGUGGGGAGCGAACAGG
Molecule: ribosomal RNA, 253 nt
Filed under: uncultured bacterium
Lineage: Bacteria
Description: partial 16S ribosomal RNA
Rfam family: Bacterial small subunit ribosomal RNA
Source: RNAcentral